GGAGAAGGGCCCAUAGCUUAGAGGUAGAGCAUCUGCUUUGCAUGCAGAAGGUCCCAGUUUCAAUCCCUGGCAUCUUCA
RNAcentral lists this transfer RNA (78 nucleotides) under Podarcis lilfordi (Lilford's wall lizard). Its description in RNAcentral is "tRNA.Ala". The stretch from base 14 to 70 matches the Rfam family "tRNA", at positions 8 to 63 of the family's 71-position model. From Rfam's summary of the family: Transfer RNA (tRNA) molecules are approximately 80 nucleotides in length. Their secondary structure includes four short double-helical elements and three loops (D, anti-codon, and T loops). Lineage: Eukaryota; Metazoa; Chordata; Lepidosauria; Squamata; Lacertidae. The record is from RNAcentral.